CAAGUAGCUGGGAUUACAGAGACCAGGUUUCGCCAUGUUGGCCAGGCUGGUAUCCAACUCUUGACCUCAAGUGAUCUGCCCACCUCAGCCUCCCAAAGUGCUGGAAUUACAGGCGUGAGCCACAGCGUGCGGCACCAGCAUUCUUAUAAGAAAAGAGAAAUGGACGCAGAGGUACACAGAGAGAACACCAUGUGAAGACAGAGGCAGAGAUUGGAGUCGUUCUCAUCUACAAAGCUGAAGAAUUCCAAGGAUUGCCACUAAUCACCAGAACCCAAGAGGGGAGCAAGGAACAGAUUCUCCCUCAGAGCCUCAAAAAAGAAACCAACCCAGUGAACACCUUGAUUUCUGACUUCUGAACUCCAGAAUCACAAGAGAACACAUUUCUCUUGUUUUAAGUCACCCGAUUUGCGAAUUUGCUAUACUUCCUUUUGGCAACCAUGGGAAACAAACACAGUCGCUAAGAAGGUGUCUCGCUCUCAGAUUUUAUCAGCUAUCCUCACUGCUCUGGACCUAGGCUCUAGGAGACAGUUUGGAAAGGAGAGACGGCGGCUGGGUGAGAGGACAGAGGGCUUGGGAGCCUGGGGGUGGCAUCACAGGAUUUCUCCGCGUCACCUUGGUCGGUGACAUGGUUUCCUGAGCAUGUGCGUCAGCCCUUGGAGAUGUCCAGCGUAAGUCAAAGCCUUUGUUCCCUACGAUAACCUUGAGAGAUGACUCAGUAGAGAAGAAGGCAGGCUGUGGGGUGGGGGAAAUGGUCAGUGCAGCUACAAAUGAGAGCCUGUUCCUGGCUCAAGGGGAGGACAAGGCAGAAAAACAACAACAGUAAUUACCAUUCCCUGUUGUUUCCCUGGACCGACCUCCCCUCGUCCUCCACCCGGAUGAUCCUGAGGCCUAACUCUCCUCUCUGUCCUCACCCUGCACCCAUUCUUCCCCACCAUCUGUUUUAUUAUUUUUUUAAUUCCACUUUAUGGAGAAAUAUAACUUACAUAAAAUAAAACACACCAAUUUUGAGUGUAGAGUUCAAUAAAUUUUGAUAAAAUGCUUAUCAAAUCCUACCCG
Molecule: long non-coding RNA, 1056 nt
Filed under: Homo sapiens (human)
Lineage: Eukaryota; Metazoa; Chordata; Mammalia; Primates; Hominidae
Description: HSALNT0370669
Source: RNAcentral